This 696-nucleotide ribosomal RNA is filed under the name Chaetogammarus obtusatus. RNAcentral describes it as "bacterial SSU rRNA". It matches the Rfam family "Eukaryotic small subunit ribosomal RNA", at positions 1288 to 1831 of the family's 1831-position model. The record is from RNAcentral. Lineage: Eukaryota; Metazoa; Arthropoda; Malacostraca; Amphipoda; Gammaridae.
CCGUUCUUAGUUGGUGGAGCGAUCUGUCUGGUUAAUUCCGAUAACGAACGAGACUCUCCCCUGCUAACUAGUCGGUUGGAUCUUGAUCAGCGGGUUGCGUGCCGAGUAACUCUCGCUGUGCGUGGUGUGCUUGUGCGGGGCAACCUGUGCUUGUGCGCUCGUGCCGUGUUGGAUGCCUUGGAUCACACUGCACCCCAAGUCCGCCGCUUAUGCUAUAACUCUUCUUAGAGGGAUUCACGGCACUGAAGCCGUAAGAGACUGAGAGCAAUAACAGGUCUGUGAUGCCCUUAGAUGCUCUGGGCCGCACGCGCGCUACAAUGCCGGGCACAGCAGGUUCUUUUCCUGCUCCGACAGGAGCGGGUAACCCUCUGAAAGCCAGUGUUCUUGCAAGUGCUUCCUCCCUCGUGGAGUUGCACAGAGGCGUGCUUGGGCCUGGGACUUGCAAUUCUUUCCCACCAACGAGGAAUGCCUAGUAGCGGCGGGUCACUGAGCCCGCUGUGACUCAGUCCCUGCCCUUUGUACACACCGCCCGUCGCUACUACCGAUUGGGUGUACCAGUGAGAGCCUUGGACUGGCGUCCGUUGUCGCUCUUGGGUGACAAGCGGGUCCGACGGAAAGAGGUCCGAACUGGUGCACUUAGAGGAAGUAAAAGUCGUAACAAGGUUUCCGUAGGUGAACCUGCGGAAGGAUCAAUUA